Molecule: ribosomal RNA, 253 nt
Filed under: uncultured Eubacteriales bacterium
Lineage: Bacteria; Bacillati; Bacillota; Clostridia; Eubacteriales
Description: uncultured Clostridiales bacterium partial 16S ribosomal RNA
Rfam family: Bacterial small subunit ribosomal RNA
Source: RNAcentral
UACGGAGGGUGCAAGCGUUACUCGGAAUCACUGGGCGUAAAGAGCGCGUAGGCGGGAUAGCAAGUCAGAUGUGAAAACCCGGGGCCCAACCCCGGGAGUGCAUUUGAAACUGCCAUGCUGGAGUGCCGGAGAGGUAAGCGGAAUUCCUAGUGUAGCGGUGAAAUGCGUAGAUAUUAGGAGGAACACCAGUGGCGGAGGCGGCUUACUGGACGGUAACUGACGCUGAGGCUCGAAAGCGUGGGGAGCAAACAGG